GGCGCAGCAGGAUACAGUCGCAGCGUUUCAGAGAUAAUGUUCUGCAGGUAAGGAAGGCUGGAAAUGUCUUGCUCAUCGACUAGGCGUUCUUGCCCGACUUGCUCGUCCAGUUCAAUUCUCGCCUUUGCUAAUAUGUUGGGGUUGUUGAGAAGGUUUGACAUUGCCCACUCUAAUGUUACUGCUGAUGUGUCGGUUCCUGCCAAUAACAUGACCUGACAACGUAACAUAUAUAUUUAAUUAAUUUACAGAUAAUUAGUAAAACUGAAUAUAUAUAUAUAUAUAUCAGUGGUCACUUCACUUGACAAAUAAACUCUUAAAAAUAAAUAAUUAUAUUGGAUAUGAUAAAUGGAAAGAAUAAUCAACCAAGAAAAGAUGGAAGAAGCUUACGAGAAUAAGGCCUUUGAUAAUGUGGUCAGUGUAAUAUUCAGGUUGAGAUUCCUGCAAAGCAAGCAAGUGGUCGAUCAUAGUAUUCAUACUCUCCAAAUCCUGCUUCUUACUCCGAUGCUCCUCAAUCAAUCCUUGCAAGAACCUGUCCGUUCUCUCAGCCAGCCACGUCACUCUCUUCUCCAAUUUCCCAC
This 578-nucleotide long non-coding RNA is filed under the name Linum usitatissimum (flax). RNAcentral's name for it is "long non-coding RNA (LUSI_LNC006250)". Lineage: Eukaryota; Viridiplantae; Streptophyta; Magnoliopsida; Malpighiales; Linaceae. The record is from RNAcentral.